Molecule: ribosomal RNA, 497 nt
Filed under: uncultured bacterium
Lineage: Bacteria
Description: partial 16S ribosomal RNA
Rfam family: Bacterial small subunit ribosomal RNA
Source: RNAcentral
GAUGAACGCUGGCGGCGUGCCUAAUACAUGCAAGUCGAGCGAACGGACGAGGAGCUUGCUCCUCUGAUGUUAGCGGCGGACGGGUGAGUAACACGUGGAUAACCUACCUAUAAGACUGGGAUAACUUCGGGAAACCGGAGCUAAUACCGGAUAAUAUAUUGAACCGCAUGGUUCAAUAGUGAAAGACGGUUUUGCUGUCACUUAUAGAUGGAUCCGCGCCGCAUUAGCUAGUUGGUAAGGUAACGGCUUACCAAGGCGACGAUGCGUAGCCGACCUGAGAGGGUGAUCGGCCACACUGGAACUGAGACACGGUCCAGACUCCUACGGGAGGCAGCAGUAGGGAAUCUUCCGCAAUGGGCGAAAGCCUGACGGAGCAACGCCGCGUGAGUGAUGAAGGUCUUCGGAUCGUAAAACUCUGUUAUUAGGGAAGAACAGAUGUGUAAGUAACUAUGCACGUCUUGACGGUACCUAAUCAGAAAGCCACGGCUAACUACGUG